UCCACCUAAAAACAUCACAAAACCUGGGGAUUUGUACUCUUAGAAUGAAGCAUUGAUUUUGGAUCUGCCAAUAAUAUAAAAAAUCUGAACUCGAAUAAAUUAAUGGAUGGAAAUAUCAACUGUGGUUUCUCUCUUCAUACUUGCUUUUGUGGAUCGAUGUAGCCUUGCUCGAGAAAGGAGCUUCAACAUCACAAAUCCAAUGCCCAGGACGUAGUUCAUGCAUAUCAGAAGCCCACACCAUCCUUCGUGGAUCCACUGUCGGCAUGCCAAAGGGUGUCGCCGUCGCCACCAAGGUCACGAUGGAUGCACGUAGAGGGGGACCGUGGCGCUCGUAACAAAUAUUGUGCCUAGAUACAACGGAUCUGCCGCUGGGGACGCUGCCGCUGCUGAUGAAGAGGAAGCCUGCCGCUGCUGAUGAAGGGGGCGCCUAGAUACUACGGAUCUGCCGUCGAGGAUGCUGCUGAUGAAGGGGGCGCCACCGUUGUUGCCGCAUAUGUCGAGAUGAAGAACGGGUGUGGCUGUUGAUUAACUUAGGGAGGCGGUGGAAUGGUCUACUCGGCGACCUAUCUGCCGGAUCGGAGAUAGGCGAGGACGAUGGCCUGUGCGAGGGGAGGCAGCGUGGGAGAGGAGGCGGCUGCGUGGGCGUGGGCAUGUGCGUGAUGGAGUUGUGAUUGGACCGAGAUUGCGGAGGAGAUGGAGCGCGAGAUGGUCCCACCUGCCGGCGCAUGGCUUCUUUGACUCUC
This 743-nucleotide long non-coding RNA is filed under the name Sorghum bicolor (sorghum). Its description in RNAcentral is "long non-coding RNA (SBIC_LNC011839)". Lineage: Eukaryota; Viridiplantae; Streptophyta; Magnoliopsida; Poales; Poaceae. The record is from RNAcentral.